This 460-nucleotide ribosomal RNA is filed under the name uncultured bacterium. RNAcentral describes it as "partial 16S ribosomal RNA". It matches the Rfam family "Bacterial small subunit ribosomal RNA", at positions 338 to 795 of the family's 1533-position model. The record is from RNAcentral.
CCUACGGGAGGCAGCAGUGAGGAAUAUUGGUCAAUGGGCGAGAGCCUGAACCAGCCAAGUCGCGUGAGGGAGGACGGUCCUAUGGAUUGUAAACCUCUUUUGUCGGGGAGCAAAAAGGCCUCGUGAGGCCACAAGUGAGAGUACCCGAAGAAAAAGCAUCGGCUAACUCCGUGCGAGCAGCCGCGGUAAUACGGGGGACGCGAGCGUUAUGCGGAUUUAUUGGGUGUAAAGGGUGCGUGGGGGGACUGGAAUGCCAGCGGUAAACUCGAGAGGGUCAACCUCUUUCCGCCGUGGAAACUGUCGGUCUUGAGUGGGCGAGAGGUAUGCGGAAUGCGUGGUGUAGCGGUGAAAUGCAUAGAUAUCACGCAGAACUCCGAUUGCGAAGGCAGCAUACCGGCGCUCAACUGACGCUCAUGCACGAAAGUGUGGGUAUCGAACAGGAUUAGAUACCCGAGUAGUC